GCCUGUAUAGCUCAGUUGGUAGAGCACUUCACUUGUAAUGAAGGGGUCGUGGGUUCGAAGCCUGCUGCAGGCACCA
This 76-nucleotide transfer RNA is filed under the name Erwinia phage Cronus. RNAcentral's name for it is "tRNA-Thr". It matches the Rfam family "tRNA". Rfam says of the family: Transfer RNA (tRNA) molecules are approximately 80 nucleotides in length. Their secondary structure includes four short double-helical elements and three loops (D, anti-codon, and T loops). The record is from RNAcentral. Lineage: Duplodnaviria; Heunggongvirae; Uroviricota; Caudoviricetes; Pantevenvirales; Straboviridae.